UUUGAGAGAAGGGAUGACACAGUAGGAUAAGCUAAGCACACUGUUGGUUAUGUGUGCCCAAGCAUUGAGGCAGUCAAAGUAGGCAAAUCCGCUUUGAUAAUGCUGGGAUGUGAUGGGGAGCGAAAUUUAGUAGCGAAGUAGCUGAUUUCACACUGUCAAGAAAAGUCUCUAUCGAGGUUAAAGGUACCCGUACCGCAAACCGACACAGGUGGGUGAGGAGAGUAUCCUAAGGCCAGCGAGAGAACUGUUGUUAAGGAACUCGGCAAAAUGACCCCGUAACUUAGGGAUAAGGGGUGCCACCAUCAGGUGGCCGCAGAGAAUAGGCCCAAGCGACUGUUUACCAAAAACAUAGGUUUCUGCUAAGUCGCAAGACGAUGUAUAGGAGCUGACGCCUGCCCGGUGCUGGAAGGUUAAGGGGAUCUGUUAGAGCAAUCGAAGCAGUGAACUUAAGCCCCAGUAAACGGCGGCCGUAACUAUAACGGUCCUAAGGUAGCGAAAUUCCUUGUCGGGUAAGUUCCGACCCGCACGAAAGGCGUAACGAUUUGGGCACUGUCUCAACAACAGACUCGGUGAAAUUGUAAUUCCGGUGAAGAUGCCGGAUACCUGCGACAGGACGGAAAGACCCCAUGGAGCUUUACUGUAGCUUGACAUUGGGUCUUGGUACUACAUGUACAGGAUAGGUGGGAGGCUUUGAAACCAGGACGCCAGUUUUGGCGGAGCCAUCCUUGGGAUACCACCCUUGUAGUACUGGGACUCUAACCAUAGGCCAUGAAUCUGGUCUUGGGACACUGUCAGGUGGGCAGUUUGACUGGGGCGGUCGCCUCCCAAAAGGUAACGGAGGCGCUCAAAGGUUCUCUCAGUACGGUCGGAAAUCGUACGUAGAGUGUAAAGGCAAAAGAGAGCUUGAUUGCAAGACAUACAGGUCGAGCAAGGAUGAAAAUCGGACUUAGUGAUCCGGUGGUUCUGCGUGGAAGGGCCAUCGCUCAACGGAUAAAAGCUACCCUGGGGAUAACAGGCUUAUCUCCCCCAAGAGUCCACAUCGACGGGGAGGUUUGGCACCUCGAUGUCGGCUCAUCACAUCCUGGGGCUGUAGUAGGUCCCAAGGGUUGGGCUGUUCGCCCAUUAAAGUGGUACGCGAGCUGGGUUCAGAACGUCGUGAGACAGUUCGGUCCCUAUCCGUCGCAGGCGUAGGAAAUUUGAGAAGACCUGUCCUUAGUACGAGAGGACCGGGAUGGACGUACCUCUGGUGUACCAGUUGUCCUGCCAAGGGCAUGGCUGGGUAGCUAUGUACGGAAUGGAUAAGCGCUGAAAGCAUCUAAGCGCGAAGCCAACUUCAAGAUAAGAUUUCCCACCGCAAGGGUAAGACCCCAGAAAGACUAUCUGGUUGAUAGGUCGAAGGUGUAAGUGCAG
Molecule: ribosomal RNA, 1410 nt
Filed under: Clostridioides difficile
Lineage: Bacteria; Bacillati; Bacillota; Clostridia; Peptostreptococcales; Peptostreptococcaceae
Description: partial 23S ribosomal RNA
Rfam family: Bacterial large subunit ribosomal RNA
Source: RNAcentral